UUAAACACUAGGCUACCUGCUAGCCUAUCUGGCAUCAGGCAUCACCUCAUCACUCCAGGGUGACAGGACAGCAGCAAUCGCCUGAUGACGGAUUCAGCAGCGUACGGCUGUUUUAUGCUGUUUUGCUGCAGCAUAAGCAAAUGGAGGAUUCUUUGUGUGCAAGUCUGAGGCUGUGUACACAUGUGCGUGAGCUCUCCAAAAGCAAACAACUAGCCUUCAUAAAGCCAAAUUCCAAGCAAGAAACCAGCUCAGCAGCUGUGAAAGUGAAAGAGAAGUGCAGCUACAAUAUGGAUGAAGUGAGAGCAGAACGAUGUAAGGGAUGAAGAAAAUAAGAACUGGAACAAAUCGCGUGAAGGCUGUAUGGGCUUGUCUCUAACUUUUACUGAUAGGAGUAACACAGGAUCUCCUGUCAGGUCUAAUCAAACCCGUUGAGUUGACAGAUGCUGAUUCAGCACUAAGACACAGUGCCUGCUCUCCAGAGGAGGAUUUAUAAAGGUGAACCUGAGCCUCCACAGCGGUGAUUUUCACAUUGCUGGUGCUGGGAAUCCAGGAGCUACUCAGACAAAGCACAUGGAAGGAACAAAGUAGCCCCUUGCUGUAAUGCAACUGCCUCUGGUUAACUCCAGCACAGAAGCUAAUCAGAUCUGUGCCUUAGACAAAGAAGCAAAAUCAGGAAAGAAGAAUUGGAUGGAGAGGAAGAAUUUGACUUGGGAGAGAACUCUUCAGAAAGUACCAUGAGACCUUCAAGAAGGCAGCAGGAUCAGAGUUCUCAUUGCCUGUGAAUUGCCUGAACUGCAUGACUGAGCUUUAAGGAGAGCAGUAACAAAAAGAAUAAAACAGCUUACAAGGUGUCCUACAUAUCCUAACCAACCAACUGACCAACCACCUACCUGCCUGAAAACGAGGAAGGCAAAACAAGACCAUCCAGGCUAGGACAUCCUUAGAGCUACCCCUGUCUUUCCUACUAGAUCUUCUGGCCCUGCUGGCAGUGUGGUCCCAAGGCAACUUCAUUUCUCCCUGUCUUUGCAACAGUCUUGCCUUUCUGGAUGCAUGUCAAUGACUGCCUGGUAGGGUAAGGGACCCAUCUGUGGCACAGAUGAACACAUGCAAUGAAUGGGCUACUAAUUUAAUAUGGUGGUUAAGGAGGAUGAUUUCUGAUACCAGCUCUUUACAAGCAGCAAGUUGACAUGACUCCCUACCCCCAGUCUGUUUCCAUUUUUACUCCCAGUAGUUUACUUCUUUCCCUCAGUCACAUCCUUUCCUAAAUGGUCUCUAGUACCUGGUAUUUAAUUCACAUGUUGUUCCCCUGUAUCCUCUGUGUGCACGAAUUAGAUUGUUAUCGACAAGAGGAGCUUAUCUCUUCUCCUUUAUUGAAUCUGG
Aquila chrysaetos chrysaetos is the source of this 1380-nucleotide long non-coding RNA. RefSeq lists it as uncharacterized. NCBI's taxonomy places the organism in Eukaryota, Metazoa, Chordata, Aves, Accipitriformes, Accipitridae. The record is from RefSeq and is a predicted model, not a curated record. The transcript has 4 exons.